GCCUGCUUAGCUCAGUGGUAGAGCGCUAGUCUUGUAAACUAGCGGUCGUGAGUUCGAUACUCACAGCGGGCA
Daphnia magna is the source of this 72-nucleotide transfer RNA. It matches the Rfam family "tRNA". From Rfam's summary of the family: Transfer RNA (tRNA) molecules are approximately 80 nucleotides in length. Their secondary structure includes four short double-helical elements and three loops (D, anti-codon, and T loops). NCBI's taxonomy places the organism in Eukaryota, Metazoa, Arthropoda, Branchiopoda, Diplostraca, Daphniidae. The record is from Rfam.